CCUACGGGAGGCAGCAGUAGGGAAUAUUGCUCAAUGGGGGAAACCCUGAUGCAGCAACGCCGCGUGAGGGAUGAAGUUUUUCGGUUUGUAAACUCCUUUCAUUAGGGAAGAUAAUGACGGUAUCUAACGAAUAAGCCCCGGCUAACUCCGUGCCAGCAGCCGCGGUAAUACGUAGGGUGCAAGCGUUACCCGGAUUCACUGGGCGUAAAGGGCGCGUAGGCGGUAUAGCAAGCCAGAUGUGAAAUCCUAUGGCUUAACCAUGGAACUGCAUUUGAAACUGUAAGGCUAGAGUGUGGGAGAGGCAGGUGGAAUUCCUGGUGUAGGGGUAAAAUGCGUAGAGAUCAAGAGGAAUACUCGUUGCGAAGGCGACCUGCUAGACGAUAACUGACGUUGAGGCGCGAAAGCGUGGGGAGCAAACAGGAUUAGAUACCCUGGUAGUC
Molecule: ribosomal RNA, 440 nt
Filed under: uncultured bacterium
Lineage: Bacteria
Description: partial 16S ribosomal RNA
Rfam family: Bacterial small subunit ribosomal RNA
Source: RNAcentral